UUUCAAGCAACAACUCACUACCAGAGGACAAAUAAGUAGCAGCCAAAUACAUAAGAUAACCAUAUACAACAAUAAGGAAUACAUUUCCUAGUGCAGUUUUUGUACAUGGUAAAAAACCAUAACUCUGUUCACACGUCUCCUCUGUUGCUGCUGCUGCAGCAGCUGAAUCAUAAAGUGAAAUAAUUCCUUCCUCGCCAACGCGAUGAACAACCCCAUCAGAGAUGAGAUCUGACGACGAAUGAUCAGAGAUAAUACGGCUGCCGCAGGCCGCUGCAGUUAAAAUGAGGAGAGUUAGGAGAGGCAGAAGAGAUUUGGAAAACAUAAUUGAUGAUAUUUUUUUCAUCGUUAGGAAGAACAAUAUGUGAUUGAAUAUUUUUGGCAUGAAUAUAUAUAUAUAGAGGGAGAUUUGUUAAUACGUCAUCUCAUAUUUAAGGGCUUGUUUGGUACACGGAUAAGGUAAUUAAUUUCAUAUUAAUUUUUGAUUGGAUAAAAUUAAUGCAUGAAAUAAUUUAUUUUUGAAAUUAUACUGUUAUUUUUAUUCUAUUUUAAGAGUAGAAUAACCUUAAAAUAACUUAUUUCCAAAGGAAUGAUUCCU
RNAcentral lists this long non-coding RNA (595 nucleotides) under Capsicum annuum. RNAcentral's name for it is "long non-coding RNA (CANN_LNC012147)". The record is from RNAcentral. Lineage: Eukaryota; Viridiplantae; Streptophyta; Magnoliopsida; Solanales; Solanaceae.